Molecule: long non-coding RNA, 3987 nt
Filed under: Marmota monax (woodchuck)
Lineage: Eukaryota; Metazoa; Chordata; Mammalia; Rodentia; Sciuridae
Source: RNAcentral
AUUUUUAAUAUUACAUAUUACAUUUGAAUGUUCUUAAAACCAGGAAAACAACAAACAAAACAAUUAUGACAUACCAGAAAGGGGCAUUCAGUGCACAGCAUAUAUUCUCAAAUAUAAAUAAUCCUCUACUCCCAGAAAAAUAAUUCCUAAGAUUUUUGUCUAAAGUCAAUUAUGGUGUUAUUAAGUAAAAUUGUAUAUACACUUCUAAUUUCUUCCAUUUAAAAACAUUUCAUAUUAAAAGUAAUAAUCAACUAAACUCUGUAAUACAGGGGUAAGCCAAUAAUAAAAAGGCCCAGUUUAGGAUGAAAUUCACUGUUUUUUGUGGUGAUUUGGAAAUUCCCAAUUAAUGAAGUUGAUGAAAAAUUAAGUGGUAGACUUUAAUUGCUGGAGAGAUAACUNGCCCGCCAUUGCAGAGAGGGGAAGUCACCAAAGUUCGGCCAAAGAGAUUCCUUCCCAGCGGAAUCUACUUUAGCAGGUGUGUGACUCCCACCCGCAUCAGAUACAAACAACCGGGAAACUUCAAAAUCUCUCCGUGGGCAUGACUGUAAGGGCCAAAGGACUCUCGACCCCCAACUCCCAAUACUGCCAGUGACGUGGGCGUGACUGUAGGGGCGGAGGGAAGCAGAGAAGACUCCCCACCCCCAACUCCCCCAACCGCCAACUGAGAGGGCGUGACAGUAGGGGCGGAGGGAAACAGAGGACACUCCAGACCCCCAACUCCUCCUACUGCCAGCGGAGUGGUCGUGAUUGUAGGGGCUGAGGGAAGCAGAUGGGAUCCUCGACCCCCAACUCCCAUUACCACCAGUGGCGACACCAAUGGUCUUAGCCGCCAGACUCCGAAGGUGUGCCCACCAAAGGGGUCCGGAAAAAUUAAACUAUUGACUCCCAGAACACAGCUCNGUGACAGCCUCCAGCUGUUGGCCCUUUUUGAAAAUUGCUUUUGGCUGAAGAGAGCUGCCUUCUCUCAGCAUGUGACAACCUUGAAGGACCAUGGGCAUUUUAGAGCACUUAAUAGGGUCACUGAGGCCUGUUGUGAGUGGAUGUUUAACUCCCUUUGCCCAACUCUGCUUUCACUGUACUCAGCUGUUGAUUCCAGAGCACUCCCCACUACAAUUCCUGCAUUCUUGAGUCUGCUUCUCAGAGAACUUGACAUACUGCAAAUUCAAAGUUCUACUUUUAUCAUUUAUGUGAAUGUAUGUGGUCUCUGACUUACAUGAUUCAAAUUAUUUUUCAACUUUACAGUUGUGUAAAAGCAAGAUGCAUUCAGUAGAAACAGUAUUUUGAAUUUUGAUCUUUUCCUGGGCUAGCAAUAUGAGCAUGACACUCUUCGUGAGAUGUUAGGUGCUGGCAGCGAGCCACACUUCUCAGUCACGCAAUUAUGAGGGUUAACAAUAGUGUGCUGUUGUUAAACUCUGAUGUUAUGUAGGUUUAAGUGUACUAAAUGCAUUUUUUUUCACUUGCAUAAGGUAUUCUGUAUUUACAUUGAACUUGUUAGGAUAUAACCAUGGUAAGUUGAGAAGUAUCUGUCUAUUGGGUAGUCAUGUAAGAUUUCACUUAAAGUAAACAAAAUACCUUUGAAAGCCAUUGGUUUCACGAUUAAACAAAUGCUUCACCUAAUACGAAAAAUUAUCAUAUUAACCAUGUUUUAUGGAAGACCAAUUUAUUUUAGUUCAUCUUUUAAACCAAUAUCCAGGGAGCAUGUUUCCAUUUUGUAAUUGUUUCUUCUUAACUUUAUUAAUGUCAUAUUUAUAAACAUUAUAAACAUAAUCUACACCUCUUAAAAUAGAAAAGUGCAUUAAAUAAUAAAAUCAUCACUAUUUUUAAUAUUACAUAUUACAUUUGAAUGUUCUUAAAACCAGGAAAACAACAAACAAAACAAUUAUGACAUACCAGAAAGGGGCAUUCAGUGCACAGCAUAUAUUCUCAAAUAUAAAUAAUCCUCUACUCCCAGAAAAAUAAUUCCUAAGAUUUUUGUCUAAAGUCAAUUAUGGUGUUAUUAAGUAAAAUUGUAUAUACACUUCUAAUUUCUUCCAUUUAAAAACAUUUCAUAUUAAAAGUAAUAAUCAACUAAACUCUGUAAUACAGGGGUAAGCCAAUAAUAAAAAGGCCCAGUUUAGGAUGAAAGUCACUGUUUUUUGUGGUGAUUUGGAAAUUCCCAAUUAAUGAAGUUGAUGAAAAAUUAAGUGGUAGACUUUAAUUGCUGGAGAGAUAACUUGAACUUUGUAGGUAUUUGAAUGCUAAUGUUCUGGAUUUUCAUUUGCUUCAUCAGAAUUCACUCAAUAAUUCUAACUUAUACAAUAGUCAAGGCAACAGAAAAGAAAUACAGCUUGGAGGCAGAGGCUGAUCUUGAUUUUCCUAAUUCUCUAUUGCCUGAGAAGCCAUCUACACACAUCAGGCCUUGGCUUUGUACUUCAGCAAUGGAGAUGAGGAAAGCACACAUAUCUAGUCAAUCUCAGGUGUGCUGUUGCUUUGGUCAUUUCAAACUCGAUGUGACAGCAAUUAACAGAUUAGGACAUGCUAUAGGUAGUCAAAAGAGAUACUCAGAAUGCAGGGUUGUAAAAGAGUCUUAUUUAUUAGAAAUAAUAACAAAGUACUUUUAUACACAUGUUAUGUAACAUAUAAAGUCUGGGCUAUUAGGCUCCAGGGUAAUAGUGAAUUUAUUAUAGAACCUAAAAUACCAAGCUUAAAUACUUAAGAAUUCCUGCUUACAGCUAGAGUUAUUUUUUUUAAUUUAAGUUUAGUAGAUAAAGGUCUAUUGAAAAAUACUGCAAAAAUAUGAAAUUUCAAUAGCAUCAGUGACCAUAUGUAUUGUAAAACUCUCUUUCUGGAGAAAUAGUGAAUUGACCUAGCCCAAUAACAAUACAUUUUCUCCUAAAAAAUGCAAGUGUAUAUAGCAAUACUGUAUACAUAUAUGCAAACAACAAUAUUCUUCCAUCAAAAAUGAAUAACCCUUAAAAAUUAUAAUGUAUACAGCAGACCACUCUAUGCACAAAAACUAUAUUUUGGAGUCAAAGAACAGUAAAGUACAACCAACUGUAGAUCUUCUUUGUUAAUGGACCAUGGGAAGAACAUUAAAACACAAAUAAACAAAGUUAGUUUAUUUAUUUGACAAAUAUUUUGAGCACAUAUCAUGUGCCAGGUGUUGUGUUUGGCACUGACAAUGCAAUUGUGGACAUGACAGGCAUGUUCUCUGCUCUUGUGAAAUCUAUUGUCUAAUGGAGGAAGCUGACAAAUAGGCUAUUACAAUAUAGCAUGAGAAGUGCUAAUAGGGAAAGUACUGAGUUCCACAUGAUGAGGAAGCAAACACAUAGAGAGAAACUAAAACUAGAUUUAAAGGAGUCAGAGUUUUCCUGGAGGACAUGCUGUCCAAGUUGAGGACUUAAGAGUAUGCAGAUAUAGGUCAUUCUGGUGAGGUUAAAGAAAGAAGGGAAAGUAUGUACAAAAUUUGGGAAGUAAGAAAGCAUGCCUCUUUCAAAACAUAAACAUUUCAUGAAGGGCUUGUAAAAUGUAUGAAGGAAUAAGACGUUUAUCAUAAUGGUAACAAGCUGCCAUUAAAAACAUUUAGGCUACGGAGAUUAGAGUUUUAUUUUAGAAACAUUACUGUAUGGGGCAGCGAGAAGGGUCCCCGCCUGGCCCGGCAGACGGCCCCCACCACCCUGGCUCUCCUGGCGGCCCCGCUCGCUCUGUGAUCAGCCACCCCGCCCGCCCGGCUCUUAGCCACGAGGCCGCUGCCUACCGGGUUCUACAAGCGGCCCCCGGCGGCCGGCGUGGAGAGAAGGGUCCCCGCCUGGCCUGGCAAACGGCCUGCGCCCUCCUGGCUCUGCUAACGCCCCGCCCGCACGGCUAAUGGCCCCCUGCCCGCGUGGCUCUGCAAACGGCCCUGCCCACCUGGCAAACGGCCCCCCGCCGCCCUCCGGGCUCUGCUGGCGCCCCGCCCGCAGCCAGUGCCCCAGGCUCUGCAGGCGGCCCCCAGCCGCCCUGCACAGC